CCCACGGACAGCCAAAUGCGCCCGUUCAUGCAUGGCGGUCUCUUUUUAUUUAUUGCAAACAUGGCAUCUUUUUUUGGUAGCAGUAGUACUGCUACUGCAGUAUACAACUGAUGUGAUCACGCGUUAGUCCUGCAAAGCACGAGGAUGUACCUUAGGUACCCACCACUAUUCUCUCAUAGAUCAGUGAAGGAAUCGAAUAUGGUGACGAUUACAAAGGGGUCUCGAGGAAGAAGAAGAAAAACAGGGAAGAACAUAUACACACUACAGUCGGCGCACGAUAAUCUGGUCACCUACUGCAGUCGCUACUUGUAUCGUUGCCCUCGUCCCUCGUGGCCUCGAACAUGUAUAAUCAUAGUUUUAAAUAGCCCGUUAUAGCCUCGUUAUAGCCUUUUCAGCAGGGUGCCGCUAAAUGAUAUCAUGUACAAAU
RNAcentral lists this long non-coding RNA (427 nucleotides) under Hordeum vulgare. RNAcentral's name for it is "long non-coding RNA (HVUL_LNC003129)". The record is from RNAcentral. Lineage: Eukaryota; Viridiplantae; Streptophyta; Magnoliopsida; Poales; Poaceae.